Molecule: long non-coding RNA, 329 nt
Filed under: Hordeum vulgare
Lineage: Eukaryota; Viridiplantae; Streptophyta; Magnoliopsida; Poales; Poaceae
Description: long non-coding RNA (HVUL_LNC001296)
Source: RNAcentral
CUCCCUGGAGAACCCAGUGUAUGACCCGGGAUGCUGGAGAGGCCAUGACAUCCUGUGGAAAGCUUCACCCAAGCUCAAAGGGAUGGACGGAUAUUUUCCGGACCCAAGGCUUACCUGCACAGCCACAAGUCAUUAUGGGCUCUGGCUUGGUUGGACAACGCGGCGACUCUGGACAGGCGGUGCUAGCAGAUGUAGAAGAACGGUAGGAUUGGAUGGGCACCGACAUGGAUUCAGAGGGACCCGUUGAAAGACCAUGUUUUGAUCAUCCGGUCUUCAAACACCCUGAAGUGCGAGGACAUACUCAGAGGCGAUCAAAUCUUGUGGGGAAC